Molecule: ribosomal RNA, 460 nt
Filed under: uncultured bacterium
Lineage: Bacteria
Description: partial 16S ribosomal RNA
Rfam family: Bacterial small subunit ribosomal RNA
Source: RNAcentral
CCUACGGGUGGCAGCAGUGAGGAAUAUUGGUCAAUGGGCGUAAGCCUGAACCAGCCAAGCCGCGUGAGGGAUGAAGGUUCUAUGGAUCGUAAACCCCUUUUAUAAGGGAAUAAAGUGUGGGACGUGUCCUAUUUUGUAUGUACCUUAUGAAUAAGGAUCGGCUAACUCCGUGCCAGCAGCCGCGGUACUACGGAGGCUCCGAGCGUUAUCCGGAUUUAUUGGGAUUAAAGGGUGCGUAGGCGGCCUGUUAAGUCAGCGGUGAAAGUCUGUGGCUCAACCAUAGAAUUGCCGUUGAAACUGGUGAGCUUGAGUAUUUUUGAGGCAGGCGGAAGGCGUGGUGUAGCGGUGAAAUGCUUAGAUAUCACGCAGAACCCCGAUGGCGAAGGCAGCCUCCCGGGCCAUGACUGACGCUGAUGUGCGAAAGCGUGGGGAGCAAACAGGAUUAGAUACCCGAGUAGUC